This 2593-nucleotide long non-coding RNA is filed under the name Androctonus crassicauda. The record is from RNAcentral. Lineage: Eukaryota; Metazoa; Arthropoda; Arachnida; Scorpiones; Buthidae.
UUCAUAGUAGGAUUGACUUGAUCAUAAUCUUCUAAAGAUUAUAAUUAGUAGAAAGCCAUAGUAAGGCUAACUAGAUCAUAAUCUUGCUAAAUAGUAUAACCAACAAAAAGAUCCAUACUACUACUAACUAGAUCAUAAUCUUGCUGAUUAUAAUUAGCAAAAAUAUUCAUAGCACGAUUAACUAGAUUAUAAUCUUUGGUUGUAACUAGCAAAAAGAUUUAUAGUAGGAUUAGCUAGAUCAUAAUCUUGCUGAAGAUUAUAACUAACUGAAAGAUCCAUAGCAGGAUUAAACUGGUUUAUAAUCUUGUCGAAGAUUGUAACUAGCUAAUCUUGCUAACAUAUUCAAUGGCAAAAUUUUCGAAAAAUUUAGUUGAUAUACGAACCGACUGUUCUUAAGUAAAGUUUGCUUUAUUGGUUAGUUACGCUACCAGAUCUGCAAGAUUUGAAUUCCAUAAUUAAUUUGUCGUUAGAUGUUGAACAAUACAUCUCUUAACUAGUUAUAAUCUUGAAUAAGAUCGUGUUAACCUAUUCAUUGGCAUGAUUUACCGAAAAUCUAGCUGCUCAGCAAGAGUUUUCGUUCAUGUCAUUGAAUAUGAACUAUGCUAGAAACUGGUUAUUAAUGAGUAAUUAUCCUAAAAUUUUAAGUGAGAAUAAGAAGGCAUUUUGACCAUGUUUUCGAUGGGCAGAAAUUUUGAUUUUUAUCUUCGUAUUGCUUUAAAAACUCGGAAUUUUCUGGUAGUUAGAAAUUUUCAUUCUCAUCAGUUCUUUUUAUAAAGUAGUGCUGAAGCAUCAAACUGUUUCUUUAUAUUAUUUAAACGGUUGAUUCUCAAAUAUUGAGCUUACAAAACGGCACGGCAAAAACAAAAUUUAUACAAAAUCGUACGGAUGUGUAGCUAGUACAUGUUUUAUGGGAGCUACGAUUUAAUUAAUAAACGAUCCAAUGUCUCCAAACUGGGAGAACAGAGAGAGAGAGAGAUAUAGUCUGGAUUUUAUCCCAAUAACAAUCUGAUGCCAAAUCUGUCGCUAUUGCUACUAAUCUGUCUAUAUUACUUAGUAAUGAAUCCUGCAGAGCAGCAUGCAAUAAUCAUUAAGACAUUUAUUUCUUCGCUACCGUAUCCACCAGCAGCUUUGAUGAUCGUGCACCAUCUUUAUAAGUAAGUAGAGUAAAAUUUAAACUGGGAAAAUUCGUUCUUUUCACUUGUCACAUCAUAGUUUUCGGAAAUUUAAGCUGUUGCCACAAAUCAUACUAACGUUCAGAACGAUCUUGAGCCUUUUUUAAGGCGUUAUUCUUCUAUCGGACUAAGAAAAGUUGGUGCUUCUUCAGUCCUUGUUUACUAUCAUCUAUGGGUGAGUAGUUUCUAUUCAUGCUAAAACGUUGAUUCUGAAGACACUUGACGUUUGAUAAUCUUCACACGUGUGUGUUUUGAAACGGGAAGGAAGUUGCGAUGAUCUACUCACUUAUCUAAAUUAAUAAUUUAAAUAUCAAUGAUCUGUUGAUGCUGUAUAUUCCGUUACUCGUCCAACUGCCGAAUUUCCUCGCACUAACGCUUUAGCUAACUACCAAUUUGGGUUUUGAGAUUGAUCUUUUAACCUCCUGUCAACUCGAUAGCCUAAAGAAUCUGACGAAUGUUGGUGACGUUCGGUUAUCUCUACACAAUAACAAUAAUGAGCUCUGAUAUGUCACACUUUCUAGUUUUGUUUGCACGGUUCAGAACUUGCAUCCUAAUUUUAUCUGUUGACAAGUUUAACGAUCUGGAUAGAGUCGGAAUGCGUAGUUUAGAUUCGGGAAUUGUUAUUGAUUUGGUGAAAAACACUCUCGUGUGUUCGAUGUUUUACCGCUUCUACAAUUUGAUUCGCAACUUCUAGACCCGUGUAAGUUGCCAUUACUGCGUGGAUUGAUAGGGAAAAAACACUACCCAGUCGUUGAUAAACUGGACGGCAAAAAAAAGUAUAUUUUAAAAUAUGUUGUUGCAAAUCCCGGUUGACGUUGUUGGCUUACUUAAAGUUGGUCAACCUUUCAGUAACCACUGAAUGAAGUAGAAUUGUCCGUUUACGAUAGAGACUCGUACAGUAGCGAUUAUAGGUCAUUCCAGUUUCGACAGUUAACGGGGUGUUACUGCUCCCGGUUUUCUUGUUUUCGGUGGUUUCCCGUCGUAGUUACGGACGUUAACACAAUUUAAAAACGCGUAUUUAAUAGUUAACAAGCGCUACUUCGCCAAACAACCGAUAUAUUUUAAAAAAUUAAUUUAGAAUUAACGUUUCUUUACGGAUCAAAAAAUUGCUUUUUAUACGGCUGCUGCCAAUUUCUCUCUUCACUGGACAACAGUAAAUUCCUAUCUUCUGUCAACAGAAUCUUUGAAUUGGGAAUCUAUACAGUUCUCUUCCAGGAAUUAGAGUUUGCAACCUCUAUCAGAAGUUAAAAUCUUUUUUUUCUUCUUCUUUCUUUCGUUGCUGAUACUAAUUUAUUUUUACUUUCUGAUAUCUUUCCUCUCCAAGUUUUAUUGCUGGAUAAUUCAAUUUAUGAUUAAAUCGAUUAUAUUAUAUAUAUAUAUAUUUACCGGUUAUUUUUCUUUUCGAAUUAAUAAAUAAAGAU